RNAcentral lists this ribosomal RNA (230 nucleotides) under uncultured bacterium. Its description in RNAcentral is "partial 16S ribosomal RNA". It matches the Rfam family "Bacterial small subunit ribosomal RNA", at positions 562 to 791 of the family's 1533-position model. The record is from RNAcentral.
AAAGCGCGCGUAGGUGGUUUGUUAAGUUGGAUGUGAAAUCCCCGGGCUCAACCUGGGAACUGCAUUCAAAACUGACUGACUAGAGUGUGGUAGAGGGUGGUGGAAUUUCCUGUGUAGCGGUGAAAUGCGUAGAUAUAGGAAGGAACACCAGUGGCGAAGGCGACCACCUGGACCAACACUGACACUGAGGUGCGAAAGCGUGGGGAGCAAACAGGAUUAGAUACCCCAGU